RNAcentral lists this ribosomal RNA (238 nucleotides) under uncultured bacterium. RNAcentral describes it as "partial 16S ribosomal RNA". It matches the Rfam family "Bacterial small subunit ribosomal RNA", at positions 524 to 753 of the family's 1533-position model. The record is from RNAcentral.
UACGUAGGGUGCAAGCGUUUAAUUCGGGAAUUACUGGGCGUAAAGCGUGCGCAGGCGGUUUUUGUAAGUCUGUCGUGAAAUCCCCCGGGCUUUAACCUGGGAAUUGCGAUGGAGACUGCAAGGCUAGAAUCUGGCAGAGGGGGGGUAGAAUUCCACGUGUAGCAGUGAAAAUGCGUAGAGAUGUGGAGGAACACCGAUGGCGAAGGCAGCCCCCUGGGUCAAGAUUGACGCUCAUGCA